CGAGGCGAACCGGGGAAACUGAAACAUCUCAGUACCCCGAGAAAAAGAAAUCAACCGAGAUUCCCCCAGUAGCGGCGAGCGAACGGGGAGCAGCCCAGAGUCAACAUCAAUAUUUACCACAGGAGAAGGGUCUGGAAAAGCCGGCAAUAAAGGGUGAUAGCCCCGUAUCUAAAGCGGUAAGUGUUGUGAACUCGAAGAGUAGGGCGGGACACGUGUUAUCCUGUCUGAAUAUGGGGGACCAUCCUCCAAGGCUAAAUACUCCUGACUGACCGAUAGUGAACCAGUACCGUGAGGGAAAGGCGAAAAGAACCCCGGCGAGGGGAGUGAAAUAGAACCUAAAACCGUGUACGUACAAGCAGUAGGAGCACCCGAAAGGGUGUGACUGCGUACCUUUUGUAUAAUGAGUCAGCGACUUAUAUUCUGUAGCAAGGUUAACCGCAUAGGAGAGCCGUAGGGAAACCGAGUCUUAACUGGGCGUUAAGUUGCAGGGUAUAGACCCGAAACCCGGUGAUCUAGCCAUAAGCAGGUUGAAG
RNAcentral lists this ribosomal RNA (533 nucleotides) under Arsenophonus endosymbiont of Bemisia tabaci. RNAcentral describes it as "partial 23S ribosomal RNA". It matches the Rfam family "Bacterial large subunit ribosomal RNA", at positions 175 to 750 of the family's 2925-position model. The record is from RNAcentral. Lineage: Bacteria; Pseudomonadati; Pseudomonadota; Gammaproteobacteria; Enterobacterales; Morganellaceae.